Molecule: ribosomal RNA, 458 nt
Filed under: uncultured bacterium
Lineage: Bacteria
Description: bacterial SSU rRNA
Rfam family: Bacterial small subunit ribosomal RNA
Source: RNAcentral
GAUGAACGCUGGCGGCGUGCUUAAUACAUGCAAGUCGAACGGAGACGUGUAGCAAUACUGUCUUAGUGGCGAACGGGUGAGUAACGCGUUGGUGACCUGCCCCGAAGAGGGGGAUAACAGUCCGAAAGGAUUGCUAAUACCCCAUGUGGUCGUUUGGAUUAGAUGCCUUACGACUAAACGGAUUUAUUCGCUUCGGGAGGGGCCUGCGUCCCAUCAGCUAGUUGGUAGGGUAAUAGCCUACCAAGGCGAUGACGGGUAGGGGACCUGAGAGGGUGGCCCCCCACAAUGGAACUGAAACACGGUCCAUACACCUACGGGUGGCAGCAGUAGGGAAUAUUGGUAAUCUGGGAAACCGGGAACCAGCAACGCCGCGUGCGCGAUGAAGGCCUUCGGGUUGUAAGCGCUUUUAAAGGGAUGAGAAGGACAGUACCUUAGAAUAAGCCUCGGCUAACUACGUG